AACGAACGCUGGCGGCAUGACUAACACAUGCAAGUCGAACGAGACCUUCGGGUCUAGUGGCGCACGGGUGCGUAACGCGGGGGAACCUGCCCUUAGGUUCGGAAUAACUCCCCGAAAGGGGUGCUAAUACCGGAUAAUGUCUUCGGACCAAAGAUUUAUCGCCUUUGGAUGGGCCCGCGUUGGAUUAGCUAGUUGGUAGGGUAAAAGCCUACCAAGGCGACGAUCCAUAGCUGGUCUGAGAGGAUGAUCAGCCACACUGGGACUGAGACACGGCCCAGACUCCUACGGGAGGCAGAAGUGGGGAAUAUUGGACAAGGGGCGAAAGCCUGAUCCAGCAAUGCCGCGUGAGUGAUGAAGGCCUUAGGGUUGUAAAGCUCUUUUACCCGGGAUGAUAAUGACAGUACCGGGAGAAUAAGCUCCGGCUAACUCCGUG
Molecule: ribosomal RNA, 433 nt
Filed under: uncultured bacterium
Lineage: Bacteria
Description: partial 16S ribosomal RNA
Rfam family: Bacterial small subunit ribosomal RNA
Source: RNAcentral